UCCUUUGGACAUGGUGUGGUGAGAAAGGA
Molecule: non-coding RNA, 29 nt
Filed under: Rattus norvegicus (Norway rat)
Lineage: Eukaryota; Metazoa; Chordata; Mammalia; Rodentia; Muridae
Source: RNAcentral